RNAcentral lists this long non-coding RNA (246 nucleotides) under Bos taurus (domestic cattle). RNAcentral's name for it is "long non-coding RNA NONBTAT012637". The record is from RNAcentral. Lineage: Eukaryota; Metazoa; Chordata; Mammalia; Artiodactyla; Bovidae.
AUUUUCCUACUGAUGAAUAGGGAACAUGUUACAGUCACCAACCACAAGUGUUCUCUUUUCACUCCGUUUUGCUUCUUUUAGAUCCAUGGCAUUGAGAAAUUGAAAAAAUAACUAGAUCAUCUGAUCAACCCCAUAACAAUUUUAAAUAUUUGGAAGACUCACAAUUACAGUUACAGGUGACUGAAUCACCGAGAAAGGAAAGCUCAGGGAGCCGUCAGCUCCUAAUCACAUCCCUUGAGCUUCACC